This 468-nucleotide unclassified non-coding RNA is filed under the name Hevea brasiliensis (rubber tree). Lineage: Eukaryota; Viridiplantae; Streptophyta; Magnoliopsida; Malpighiales; Euphorbiaceae. The record is from RNAcentral.
UUUGAUUCCAAUCCUAUGGCCACAAAACCUUUGCACAAAUGGAAGAGGCUUGCAAGGGAAAAGGCCAUUUCAACAUCUAAUGUCGCUAUCCGAGAAAUAUUAUCAGAUGAAGAGGUCGGCCAAGAUGACAGAGACGAGAAGGAUUCCAAUUUUCACAAAAGAGGAAGGGAUGAGGGAGAGAUGGGGGAGGAAAAAGAGAUUGAUCAAAACAAAAAAUAUCGCUCUGAUGAAGCUUCUUUGACAACCAACUCAACGGCGGGACCUGGUCACCAGGCUUGCUGAGAGCCAUGAAUCUUUUAAGAUGGAACUGCGGAGGGCUUGGCAACCCUCGAGCAGUGUUAGCUCUUAAAGAGCUACUAAAAAACAAUAAGCCAAGGAUAGUGUUUGUUAUGGAAACUCUCAUUCAAUGUCAGAGAACUGAAGCAGUUAGAAUCAAGAUUAGUUUGUUUUGCAGUGGACAGAUUAGGG